GUACACAAAAAUGCACAUGCUGUGAGCUCGAUGAGUAGGGCGGGACACGUGGUAUCCUGUCUGAAUAUGGGGGGACCAUCCUCCAAGGCUAAAUACUCCUGACUGACCGAUAGUGAACCAGUACCGUGAGGGAAAGGCGAAAAGAACCCCGGCGAGGGGAGUGAAAAAGAACCUGAAACCGUGUACGUACAAGCAGUGGGAGCACGCUUAGGCGUGUGACUGCGUACCUUUUGUAUAAUGGGUCAGCGACUUAUAUUCUGUAGCAAGGUUAACCGAAUAGGGGAGCCGAAGGGAAACCGAGUCUUAACUGGGCGUUAAGUUGCAGGGUAUAGACCCGAAACCCGGUGAUCUAGCCAUGGGCAGGUUGAAGGUUGGGUAACACUAACUGGAGGACCGAACCGACUAAUGUUGAAAAAUUAGCGGAUGACUUGUGGCUGGGGGUGAAAGGCCAAUCAAACCGGGAGAUAGCUGGUUCUCCCCGAAAGCUAUUUAGGUAGCGCCUCGUGAAUUCAUCUCCGGGGGUAGAGCACUGUUUCGGCAAGGGGGUCAUCCCGACUUACCAACCCGAUGCAAACUGCGAAUACCGGAGAAUGUUAUCACGGGAGACACACGGCGGGUGCUAACGUCCGUCGUGAAGAGGGAAACAACCCAGACCGCCAGCUAAGGUCCCAAAGUCAUGGUUAAGUGGGAAACGAUGUGGGAAGGCCCAGACAGCCAGGAUGUUGGCUUAGAAGCAGCCAUCAUUUAAAGAAAGCGUAAUAGCUCACUGGUCGAGUCGGCCUGCGCGGAAGAUGUAACGGGGCUAAACCAUGCACCGAAGCUGCGGCAGCGACGCUGAUGCGUUGUUGGGUAGGGGAGCGUUCUGUAAGCCUGCGAAGGUGUGCUGUGAGG
This 891-nucleotide ribosomal RNA is filed under the name Escherichia coli. RNAcentral describes it as "partial 23S ribosomal RNA". It matches the Rfam family "Bacterial large subunit ribosomal RNA", at positions 375 to 1268 of the family's 2925-position model. The record is from RNAcentral. Lineage: Bacteria; Pseudomonadati; Pseudomonadota; Gammaproteobacteria; Enterobacterales; Enterobacteriaceae.